CUUGGUGGUUAGAGCGAGGUGGACCCACCCGUUCCCAUCCCGAACACGGAAGUGAAACGCCUCAGCGCAGACGAUACUGAGGAGGUAGCUCCUUGUGAAAAAUAUGCCACCGCCAAGA
RNAcentral lists this ribosomal RNA (118 nucleotides) under Chloroflexi bacterium RBG_16_57_8. The record is from RNAcentral. Lineage: Bacteria; Bacillati; Chloroflexota.